GGCAGCAUGGCUCAGUGGAGAGAGCCCUGACUGGGGAAUCAGAGGUCCCGGGUUCGAAUCCCGGCUCUGCCU
RNAcentral lists this transfer RNA (72 nucleotides) under Ornithorhynchus anatinus (platypus). It matches the Rfam family "tRNA". Rfam says of the family: Transfer RNA (tRNA) molecules are approximately 80 nucleotides in length. Lineage: Eukaryota; Metazoa; Chordata; Mammalia; Monotremata; Ornithorhynchidae. The record is from Rfam by way of RNAcentral.